GUCAAGUUAGUUUAUAAAAAUAUCAGCCUGUGGAUUUGAAGAUGAAAACAUUUUUCACUUGACC
Molecule: transfer RNA, 64 nt
Filed under: Purpura persica
Lineage: Eukaryota; Metazoa; Mollusca; Gastropoda; Neogastropoda; Muricidae
Description: tRNA-His
Rfam family: tRNA
About the family: Transfer RNA (tRNA) molecules are approximately 80 nucleotides in length. Their secondary structure includes four short double-helical elements and three loops (D, anti-codon, and T loops).
Source: RNAcentral